GCGAGGGUGGCGGAACUGGUAUACGCGCUGGAUUUAGGAUCCAGUGGGGCAACCCAUGGGGGUUCGAGUCCCCCCUCUCGCA
Molecule: transfer RNA, 82 nt
Filed under: Gemmatimonadota bacterium
Lineage: Bacteria; Pseudomonadati; Gemmatimonadota
Description: Gemmatimonadetes bacterium tRNA-Leu
Rfam family: tRNA
About the family: Transfer RNA (tRNA) molecules are approximately 80 nucleotides in length.
Source: RNAcentral